CCAGACCAUUGCCAGACACAUCCAGGACUCCUAGACAUUGUUGGAGGCCAAUCUGAAGAUAUUACUGAUGAGAAUCAGGAAACAGGAGUAACCUAAGCUGUUAUGACCCUGGUGGUCGGCCUAUCAAGAAAUCUGUUAUUUUCAUCAGAAGUCUUAUGUAAAUUUCAAUUGGUAUGGAGUAUUUUUCUUACAAUUUGGGAUAUUUAGAUUUCUUUGGCUCCAAAGAAAAUGUUAAUUAUGUCAUCUGACACAUUGAUAAUUCUAUGCUGGGUCAAACAAUGGUGCUGCAGUAGUUUAGGUAUGUGCAAAACAUGAUUUUGAAUAGUUUUGAGUUAUGCCCCUUAGGCAUCCUAGGAUCUGCUGUUGAUAAUGUUAUGACUACCGCAUCCUUUGGCUAUUGUUACCAGAAAUUGGUUAUUGGUUUGAAAAUAUGACCUGUAUAAAGUUUCAGAUCUUCUCACAAUAACUGACAGUGACUUUAUAACUUAAUGCUUUUAAACAUGUUCAAAGUGCCAUGUUUAAAUUCAGUUCUAUCACUCAUUGUGAUGUCAUGGAUGGUGGGUUAGCUCAGUGGUCAAAUCGCUAGCCUGUCAUGUCAAACACCUGUGUUUCAUUCGCCACGGGUACAAUGUGUGAGGCCCUUUUCUGGUGUCCCCUGCUGUGAUAUUGCUGGAAUAUUGCUAAAAGCAGUGUAAAACCAUACUCACUCACUCACUCACUCCAUUAUUAUGUUGUUGUAACUACAACUUCCUUGUGGAGCCAAAUGAUGACAAACUUGGUUAUAUCUCUAAGCCAAUGGGAUGCUAGGACACAAACGCUAUUCCUCAAGCGAAUAACCAUUGAUAGAUGAUUAAUGACAUAACACUUGCAAUGUUACUUUCAUAAGUAUGUAUAAUACAGAAUAAUUUGAAGACAGUAUAUUAUUGUUUGACAUUUUGUUCUGAGAAGCAUGUUUUAGGUGAAAUGUUCAAAGUAUUGUAUGACAUCCUUUAUUGUGUGAUAGCCUUUAUUGUUAUGGCCUUUAUUGUAUAUCCUUUAUCGUGUGAUAUCCUUAUUAAUAUGAUAUCCUUUAUUAUAUGAGAUCCUUUAUUGUGUGAUAUCCUUUCUUUUAUGAUGAUAUCCUGUACCUCCAUUGUAAAAAAUCAUUGGAUCAUGUAGUUGCUGAACCCCAGAAAAGAGAUGUUAUCCACAAAACUACUUAUAAGGACAAUUGCAGUUGGUGACUUGAGACAGAUUUAAAUUUAAUAUUGCUGAAGUAUUGUGUUUCAUAUGAAGUGGAAGGUUGGUCUUGAAAGGCCUCGACACUUAUGUAACAGGGUAUUUGUACUAUAGUUCUCUGGAGGAAUUAUUCCCAUGGAAAUUUGCCCAUUAUGCAUCUGCACUGGCCAUGUGUGUUCUGAAUGGAACUUUUUUUCAGGUGGAACUGAUCAUCAGUGACACUUACUCUGAGCAUAGUUGACUAUGGCUCUUUAAUUUGCUCCCCAACUAUGGGUUUGAAUCUGAGAUUUGGCUGGUUCUAUUCUUGUUAUUUUCAAUCUGUUGGUGGGUUUCAUCACAGUGAUAUAUGUCAGUGAUCCUGAAUCAGUUGUGGUUCUUCCAUCAAACAGGCCCUGGGCCUCCUUUCACAAAGCACCAAGGUGAUCGUAAGUCAAUACAGUAACCUCAGUGCAGUGUUAAAGAAUGGGAGUUAAGGUUAACCUUAGUUAAGGUUGCUUCGUGAAAGGAGCCCCUGAUGUUACACAAAUACUCAAUCACUCUGCUAACUCCAUCACAUCACUUUGGUAGGAUGAUUCUUUAAGAGACGGGGGGCGGUGGGGUAGCCUAGUGGUUAAAGCGUUGGCU
This is a long non-coding RNA of Haliotis rubra (blacklip abalone), 1842 nucleotides long. RefSeq lists it as uncharacterized. NCBI's taxonomy places the organism in Eukaryota, Metazoa, Mollusca, Gastropoda, Lepetellida, Haliotidae. The record is from RefSeq and is a predicted model, not a curated record. The transcript is spliced from 3 exons.